UGAACGCUGGCGGCGUGCCUAAUACAUGCAAGUCGAGCGAACAGACGAGGAGCUUGCUCCUCUGACGUUAGCGGCGGACGGGUGAGUAACACGUGGAUAACCUACCUAUAAGACUGGGAUAACUUCGGGAAACCGGAGCUAAUACCGGAUAAUAUAUUGAACCGCAUGGUUCAAUAGUGAAAGACGGUUUUGCUGUCACUUAUAGAUGGAUCCGCGCCGCAUUAGCUAGUUGGUAAGGUAACGGCUUACCAAGGCGACGAUGCGUAGCCGACCUGAAAGGGUGAUCGGCCACACUGGAACUGAGACACGGUCCAGACUCCUACGGGAGGCAGCAGUAGGGAAUCUUCCGCAAUGGGCGAAAGCCUGACGGAGCAACGCCGCGUGAGUGAUGAAGGUCUUCGGAUCGUAAAACUCUGUUAUUAGGGAAGAACAAAUGUGUAAGUAACUAUGCACGUCUUGACGGUACCUAAUCAGAAAGCCACGGCUAACUACGUG
This 495-nucleotide ribosomal RNA is filed under the name uncultured bacterium. Its description in RNAcentral is "partial 16S ribosomal RNA". It matches the Rfam family "Bacterial small subunit ribosomal RNA", at positions 30 to 507 of the family's 1533-position model. The record is from RNAcentral.